This 253-nucleotide ribosomal RNA is filed under the name uncultured bacterium. RNAcentral describes it as "partial 16S ribosomal RNA". It matches the Rfam family "Bacterial small subunit ribosomal RNA", at positions 524 to 776 of the family's 1533-position model. The record is from RNAcentral.
UACGUAGGGUGCGAGCGUUGUCCGGAAUUAUUGGGCGUAAAGAGCUCGUAGGCGGCCUGUCGCGUCGGAUGUGAAAGCCCGGGGCUUAACCCCGGGUCUGCAUUCGAUACGGGCAGGCUAGAGUGUGGUAGGGGAGAUCGGAAUUCCUGGUGUAGCGGUGAAAUGCGCAGAUAUCAGGAGGAACACCGGUGGCGAAGGCGGUUCUCUGGGCCUUACCUGACACUGAGGAGCGAAAGCGUGGGGAGCGAACAGG